UUUAUAAAUCUAAUUUUGUUUUGUUUUUCUUCUUCUUCCUCAUCUUCAUCAUCUUCCAUUACCAUGGAACUCACCAAAAAAUUUCAAAAUCCAAAAUACCCAAAUCAUUCAUCCUCUUCCCUUGUUACCAUUUAUGAAGCUUGAAAAUCUCAAACUAAAAUCCCCAAUUCGUUUUAACAUCUUCAAAAUUUUGUCCAAUCUCAAACCCACUUUUCUCUCUCUAAGAGGAAGAACCAAAAACCCAAACCCAUAAUUUCAAAAAUCUCAUGAGCAGAGGAAGAAUCUAUUAUGAGCAGAGGAAUAACGAGCAGAGGAAGAACCAAAAAAAGGGGGGAAAACACAGCUCGCAUCUUGUGACUUGUGAGGAUCUAAAUCUGAAAAAAAAGAGAGUAAGUAGCGUCAACCACAACGUUGUCGAUCUCGCAAAAUUAUGAUCCAUCAAGUUGUUGUCAUGUAAUAUCGACACCUUUGUUGCCAUAAAAAGUCGAAACUUUUAGUCGAUGUUACUGGUUUGUGCUAUGGAUCGGCACUAGUGGUGGUUAGGUAUGUUGGUGAAGGUUGAAGAUUUUCUCAACAAGUUGUUUGUUAAAAAUGAAUUAUGUCUACUGAUUUGGGGAUUAGGGCAUUUGAUCCAUUAGAUGGCUAAAAUGAAUGAUGUGUUUUGGUUAUGUUUUAUUAAUUUGUUUGUUAUAAAAAAUGUGAUUUAAG
RNAcentral lists this long non-coding RNA (708 nucleotides) under Panax ginseng (ginseng). Its description in RNAcentral is "long non-coding RNA (PGIN_LNC004209)". The record is from RNAcentral. Lineage: Eukaryota; Viridiplantae; Streptophyta; Magnoliopsida; Apiales; Araliaceae.